Molecule: unclassified non-coding RNA, 425 nt
Filed under: Hevea brasiliensis (rubber tree)
Lineage: Eukaryota; Viridiplantae; Streptophyta; Magnoliopsida; Malpighiales; Euphorbiaceae
Source: RNAcentral
AGAAGACGGACGAAUCAGAACACUUCCUGUGGGAAGCUGACAUCAAGGUUCCUUGUGGUCGCUUGAUACCAUCAGAGCAUAAAGAUAGCCCCCUGGAAUACAAUGAGUAUGCUGUCUACGAUCCCAAACAGGUACUGAUGAAACUCUACCGUUAAUACUUUCUUUUCAUUUAGCAUCCAAGAUUCAUCUGUAUUGGAAUUGCAGACAAGAAUAAGGUUCCCGGUGGGAAUCAAGUAUGAGGAGAAGGAUGUGGUGAUGAACACUGUAGAGUCAUAAGUAGAAGAAAUGAGCUAAGAAGGCUUUUUGUGCGACCGGGAAGAUCUUUGUUUAUUGCUUCUGCUGUUCUCCUGCAUGGCGGGUAUAGAGAUACCGGGUACUUGACGGGAUUUUAAUCAAAGCUCUCCAAGAAGUUGAUGGAUUUUGUU